AAACCCCAUAGGAACCCCAUAGAUGAGCCCUGACCCAUAGCUGCCCCAUAGAAACCCCAUAGAUUGAGCCUGACCCAUAGCUGCCCCAUAGAAGACACCACCAUAGAUGAGCCCUGACCCAUAGCUGCCCCAUAGAAACCCCAUAGGAACCCCAUAGGAACCCCAUAGAUGAGCCCUGCCCCAUAGAUGAGCCAUAGCCAUGCUGACGGUGUUUCAGUGCAUCACUAUGGAGGGGUGGACUGACCUGCUGUACUAUGUGAGCCGCUGACCCAUAGCUGCCCAUAGGAACCCCAUAGAAACCCCAUAGAUGAGCCAUAGCUGCCCCAUAACCAGCCCAUAGCUCACCGUGUUCCAGUGCAUCACUAUGGAGGGGUGGACAGACUGCUUGUACUAUUGUGAUGCCUGACCCAUUAGCUGCCCCAAUAGAAACCCCAUAGGAAAACCCCAAUAGAUGAGCCUGAACCCAUAGGUGCCCAUAGAUGAGCAUAGCUGCCCCUAUAGCUGACCUCAUAGCUGACCCCAUAGCGACCCCAUAGCUGACCCCAUAGCCGACCCCAUAGCUGACCCAUAGCUGACCCCAUAGCUUGAACCCAUAGCUGACCCCAUAGCCGACCCCAUAGCUGACCCACAGCUGCCCCAUAGCCGACCCCAUAGCUGACCCAUAGCUGACCCCAUAGCCGACCCCAUAGCUGACCCAUAGAUGACCCAUAGCCAACCAUAGCCGACCCCCAUAGCUGACGCCAUAGCCGACCCAUAAUACCGACCCAUAACUGACCCCUAUAACUGAACCCAUAAAUCUGACCCUACAUAACCGACCCCCCCCCUUUAUAAACCGACCCGCAUAAACCGACCCGCCAUAACUGACCCCAUAGCUGACCCUAUAACCGACCCCAUAACUGACCCCAUAGCUGACCCUAUAAACCGACCCAUAACUGACCCCCAUAACGACCCUAUAACCGCCCCCUCCAGACCAACGAUGCCUCAGGAAACACCUGGAACUGGCUAUACUUCAUCCCCCUCAUCAUCAUCGGCUCCUUCUUUAUGCUCAACCUGGUGCUGGGGGUUGCUCAGCGGUGAAUUUGCCAAGGAACGUGAGCGGGUUGAAAACCGCCGGGCGUUCCUGAAACUGAGACGGCAGCAACAGAUCGAGAGGGAGCUCAAAUGGGUACAUGGAGUGGAUAUCGAGGAGGUGAGAAACCCACCCACAUUAAAUGGGAACCCCACCCAUUAAAUAGGGACCCCACCAAUUAAUAGGGACGCCACCCAAAUUAAUAGCGGACCCCCAAGUUAAUAACAGAAUCGACGAGGGAGCUCAAAUGGGUACAUGGAGGUGGAUAUCAAGGCAGGUGAGACCCCACCAAAUUAAUGGGACCCCCACCCAAAUUAAUGAUGACCCCACCCAAUUUAUAGGGACCCUCCACCAAAUUAUAGGACCCCCAAAUUAAUACAGAUCGAGAGGGAGCUCAAUGGGGUACAUGGAGUGGAUAUCAAGGGCAGGUGAGACCCCCACCCAAAUUAAUGGGACCCCCACCCAAAUUAUAGGACCCCCACCCAAAUUAAUGGGACCCCCCUCCCCCCCAAAAUAAAGAGAGACCCCCCCCCA
This is a long non-coding RNA of Coturnix japonica (Japanese quail), 1603 nucleotides long. NCBI's taxonomy places the organism in Eukaryota, Metazoa, Chordata, Aves, Galliformes, Phasianidae. The record is from Ensembl.